GGCCACAUUGUGUUGAAACACCACUUUACAUAUGAUUACUGAAGUUAAGCAACUUUGAGCCUGGUCAGUACCUAGAUAAGUAACCACUUGGGAAUGCUAGGUGCUGUAAG
Non-coding RNA from Acanthosepion pharaonis, 110 nucleotides. NCBI's taxonomy places the organism in Eukaryota, Metazoa, Mollusca, Cephalopoda, Sepiida, Sepiidae. The record is from the annotation of a GenBank genome assembly.